AACACAGGGAUUGCCCUAGUAACGGCGAGUGAAGCGGCAACAGCUCAAAUUUGAAAUCUGGCUUCGGCCCGAGUUGUAAUUUGCAGAGGAUGUUUCUGGCGCGGUGCCUUCCGAGUUCCCUGGAACGGGACGCCAUAGAGGGUGAGAGCCCCGUAUGGUUGGAUACUAAGCCUGUGUGAAACUCCUUCGACGAGUCGAGUAGUUUGGGAAUGCUGCUCAAAAUGGGAGGUAAAUCUCUUCUAAAGCUAAAUAUUGGCCAGAGACCGAUAGCGCACAAGUAGAGUGAUCGAAAGAUGAAAAGCACCUUGAAAAGGGGGUUAAACAGUACGUGAAAUUGUUGAAAGGGAAGCGCUCAUGACCAGACUUGUGCUGGGCAGCUCAUCCGGGGUUCUCCCCGGUGCACUCUGCCCAGUUCAGGCCAGCAUCGAUUUUUGCUGGGGGAUAAGAACGGUAGGAACGUGGCCCUCCUUCGGGUGGGUGUUAUAGCCUGCCGUACGAUACCCUGGCGGAGAUCGAGGUUCGCGCAUCUGCAAGGAUGCUGGCGUAAUGGUCAUCAGCGACCCGUCUGGAAAAACACGG
This 579-nucleotide ribosomal RNA is filed under the name Coniella sp. B8-71. RNAcentral describes it as "eukaryotic LSU rRNA". It matches the Rfam family "Eukaryotic large subunit ribosomal RNA", at positions 63 to 664 of the family's 3401-position model. The record is from RNAcentral. Lineage: Eukaryota; Fungi; Ascomycota; Sordariomycetes; Diaporthales; Schizoparmaceae.